ACAUGCAAGUCGCACGGACUGUUUCGGCAGUUAGUGGCGGACGGGUGAGUAACACGUAGGUGACCUACCCCAAAGUCUGGGACAACUAGGAGAAAUCUUAGCUAAUCCUGGAUGUGAACCUCAGCUGUGGCUGAUGUUUAAAGCUUCGGCGCUUUGGGAUGGGCCUGCGGCGCAUCAGGUAGUUGGUGGGGUAACGGCCCACCAAGCCGACGACGCGUAGCUGGUCUGAGAGGACGACCAGCCACAGGGGUACUGAGACACGGACCCCACUCCUACGGGAGGCAGCAGUUAGGAAUCUUCCGCAAUGGGCGAAAGCCUGACGGAGCGAUACCGCUUGAAGGACGAAGCCCUUCGGGGUGUAAACUUCUGAACUCGGGACGAUAAUGACGGUACCGAGGUAAUAGCACCGGCUAACUCCGUGCCAGCAGCCGCGGUAAUACGGAGGGUGCGAGCGUUAAUCGGAAUUACUGGGCGUAAAGCGUGCGCAGGCGGAUUGUUAAGCAAGACGUGAAAUCCCCGGGCUUAACCUGGGAAUGGCGUUUUGAACUGGCAGUCUAGAGUGCGUCAGAGGGGGGUG
RNAcentral lists this ribosomal RNA (577 nucleotides) under uncultured bacterium. Its description in RNAcentral is "bacterial SSU rRNA". It matches the Rfam family "Bacterial small subunit ribosomal RNA", at positions 53 to 663 of the family's 1533-position model. The record is from RNAcentral.